RNAcentral lists this ribosomal RNA (49 nucleotides) under Shigella sonnei. RNAcentral describes it as "16S rRNA. Bacterial SSU". Lineage: Bacteria; Pseudomonadati; Pseudomonadota; Gammaproteobacteria; Enterobacterales; Enterobacteriaceae. The record is from RNAcentral. RNAcentral also lists the same sequence under 1 other name.
UUAAAUUGAAGAGUUUGAUCAUGGCUCAGAUUGAACGCUGGCGGCAGGC